This 253-nucleotide ribosomal RNA is filed under the name uncultured bacterium. Its description in RNAcentral is "partial 16S ribosomal RNA". It matches the Rfam family "Bacterial small subunit ribosomal RNA", at positions 524 to 776 of the family's 1533-position model. The record is from RNAcentral.
UACGAAGGGGGCUAGCGUUGUUCGGAAUUACUGGGCGUAAAGCGCGCGCAGGCGGUCUUCCAAGUCAGUGGUGAAAGCCCGGAGCUCAACUCCGGAAUUGCCAUUGAAACUGUUGGACUUGAGGAUGAGAGAGGUGAGUGGAAUUCCCAGUGUAGAGGUGAAAUUCGUAGAUAUUCGCAAGAACACCAGUGGCGAAGGCGGCUCACUGGCCCGGUACUGACGCUGAGGUGCGAAAGCGUGGGGAGCAAACAGG